UACGAAGGGGGCUAGCGUUGCUCGGAAUCACUGGGCGUAAAGGGUGCGUAGGCGGGUCUUUAAGUCAGGGGUGAAAUCCUGGAGCUCAACUCCAGAACUGCCUUUGAUACUGAGGAUCUUGAGUUCGGGAGAGGUGAGUGGAACUGCGAGUGUAGAGGUGAAAUUCGUAGAUAUUCGCAAGAACACCAGUGGCGAAGGCGGCUCACUGGCCCGAUACUGACGCUGAGGCACGAAAGCGUGGGGAGCAAACAGGGAUUAGAAAUCCCUG
Molecule: ribosomal RNA, 268 nt
Filed under: uncultured bacterium
Lineage: Bacteria
Description: partial 16S ribosomal RNA
Rfam family: Bacterial small subunit ribosomal RNA
Source: RNAcentral